GUGAAGUUAGCUAACAAAUUUUAAUCGCGAGUGAAUAUUAAGUUUUUGCAACUGUGUAGUGUAAGAUGUAGUCAAAUAUUUUUUAAUAAUUGAUUAACAAUUUGCGUCAUUUCAUAAAUAAAUUAAAAAAAAUACCUUUGAACGUAGAUAUUGACAUUUGUAACGUAACUGAUGGAUCAACAAAUCCAUUGAAGCACCUGACAUAACGCCCAAAUCACAUUUUCGAAUAAAAGAAACUAUGGAAAUUGAUAUUAAAUUAUAUUUGUUUACAAAUAGAGAUAAAAGUUUUCUUAACCUGUACAUGGUGGAUUAUAAACAAGCUCAUUAAUAUCAGACGAUAAUUAAUUUCGAACAGAUUGAAGUCCAAGGAAGAAAUUUUUUUUAAAGAAAUGAUAGUGGGGAUUACACCAGAUGCCAUUCUUCUAAACGGUAUAAAAACUGUGAAACCAUAUGAAAUUAAUGGAGAGAAUCCAAAAUCCGAUUUAAAUAAAAUAACAGAUUUGAUUAAUAAAUAUGUUUAAUCUAAUUAUUCUUAGAGACAAAAUUAUUUACUUAUUGAAUCAAAUCUAUUAGUAUAUUAUUUUAAAUGUAAUACUUAUCAGAUUAUGGACUAUGGUUAUUUAAAAUUCGAAAUGUGCACUUUUCACACUAAUCACUAAAAAAACAGAUUCCCACAGUAAGGUGUUCCACAGAUAACAAAAUUUAUCACAUUCAAAACACUUUUCCGGAUUAUAAUACUUAAUACAUGACGCUUUUGUAUAAUCAAUUUUAUAUAUUAUUUUAUUUCAAAAAAUUGUAUUUGUGCUUAAUUUAAUAAAGAGUAAUGAAGCCAAGCUUUAUGUGCUGUUAAUAAGUACAAUUUAUAUGGUGUUUUGUCAUCAGAAUACAAAUAACAUCAAUUCGUAGCUUAAAAUCGGAUAAAAUCUAUGAAAUUGUACUUAUUUAUAUCAAUUUUUACUACAACAAAAAUGUGCAUAAAUAAAAUUCUAAGCUCAAAGUCUACUUGAAAAAACUGCACGACACGACAUAUACCUUUUUACCUUUUAGCAUUCCCAAUGUAAUUUUGCCAUGAUCGUUUUUCUUGAUCAUUUUUGUUUAGUAUUUUUACGAAAUGACAACAAAUGUUAUAUGACAAUCACAUUUAGCAUUAGAUAUUUACUUCUGUGACAGAUGCUAGCAAUAAAUUUGUUUAAUUAACAAAAUAUUGUACAUGGGAAUCACCUUACUUUUAUUGAGAUCCAUUGUUCAACAGUCCAUAAUCUUCUAUUGAUUAGUUGUAAUUAAUUCAACUAGAUAUUAUUUAUUACUUUAAACACGCAAUUUAUGUCUCAGUUUCGUAAAACGUUACAAAAUCACUUGCCUUUAAUUAACUUCGCAAUUUUGUUCAAUAAUUGUUUAAUUUUUAUACCGGAACAACUGUCAAAUAUUCAAUCAAUCACCUGCCAAUUGUUAAAUUGCGCUUCUUCUUUUUUCAUUAAACUGUGCUCAUAAUACACCCAAGCAAAUCUCAUUUUAUCAGGACUGAAUAGUCUGCUUGAAAAAGGCACUUUUCUGUAGGAGAAAUAGAUAAAUUUGCCAGUAUAAAAAUAGAAAAUACUCUUGGAGAUAAAAAGCGAUAUUACGAAAUAGAAAAUACUAUAGAUGUUUACACUUGUGAUUGAUAAUAUAUACUAAUACAGUGAAAUGGUAGAAUCAAAAGAAUAGUUAUUAUUAUUAGCCAAAAUUUCGACUAAAAUUUGUUGAUGCUUAUGAUUUUGUAAUAAAAUAUGAUAACAGUUUAUUCAAACUUAUUACAAAGGUAUGUGAGUUCUCGAAUAAUCGUUAUUGCUAAUUAAAAAUAAAAUAUAUCAUCGUCUUUUA
This is a long non-coding RNA of Diorhabda sublineata, 1860 nucleotides long. RefSeq lists it as uncharacterized. The transcript has 2 exons. Lineage: Eukaryota; Metazoa; Arthropoda; Insecta; Coleoptera; Chrysomelidae. The record is from RefSeq and is a predicted model, not a curated record.